UACGAAGGGUGCAAACGUUGCUCGGAAUUAUUGGGCGUAAAGCGCACGUAGGCGGCUUGGCAAGUCGGAUGUGAAAUCCCUCGGCUCAACCAAGGAAGUGCAUCCGAAACUGCCGAGCUUGAGUACUUAAGAGGAUCGCGGAAUUCCCGGUGUAGAGGUGAAAUUCGUAGAUAUCGGGAGGAACACCAGUGGCGAAGGCGGCGAUCUGGGAAGAUACUGACGCUGAGGAGCGAAAGCGUGGGGAGCGAACAGG
Molecule: ribosomal RNA, 253 nt
Filed under: uncultured bacterium
Lineage: Bacteria
Description: partial 16S ribosomal RNA
Rfam family: Bacterial small subunit ribosomal RNA
Source: RNAcentral